Long non-coding RNA from Lathyrus oleraceus (garden pea), 338 nucleotides. RefSeq lists it as uncharacterized. The record is from RefSeq and is a predicted model, not a curated record. Lineage: Eukaryota; Viridiplantae; Streptophyta; Magnoliopsida; Fabales; Fabaceae. The transcript has 3 exons.
CGCCGAUUAAGUUUAAUCCAUUAUAAAAGCGUCAGCAUUCACCAUUUUAACAAUAGUGAAGAGGAGCGACACCGAUUAAGGAUCUCUCUAUUUGGACGUGAUUCUGACAUUUACAUAGAGUUGUAAAACGUUCUGAAUACGUCGAUUGUGGGAUACUCAAACCAACACUGUUUAUGCGGCUAAUCUCAGAUCUAUGAUUGUCGUGAAAAAAAUUUGUUCAUUGGAAUAUCAUCAAAAGUGUGAUCUACGAAUUGCUCUUUUUGAUGACAUCUAGCAUAAUCUUCAACGACCGUGAUUUCCUUGAUUAAGGACAAGAUUAUUGGCUUCUUGUUUUAAAA